Molecule: long non-coding RNA, 1032 nt
Filed under: Lonchura striata (white-rumped munia)
Lineage: Eukaryota; Metazoa; Chordata; Aves; Passeriformes; Estrildidae
Description: domestica (Bengalese finch) lncRNA (ENSLSDG00000014144.1)
Source: RNAcentral
NNNNNNNNNNNNNNNNNNNNNNNNNNNNNUUUUUUUCUCUCUCUGUCCAGCGCUCUGCCUGUCGCUAUUGUUGGUAAUGGAGAGUUUUGAGAGCAUCAGGGAGGAGUCAGUGGCUUUGAGCGUUUGGAGGGAGGUGUUGAAGCGGGAACGCGUUCUCUUUUAUUGGGAUGAUUUUGAGAGGCUGUUUUUAUGGGCAAGGGAACAGGGAUUCUUUCCCAGUCUUGCCGAGGCUCUGUCCUGGGAGAAAUGGGCUCCUGUGGGAGACCGCCUCAUGGAUGCCCUGCUUGAUAAUCGUUUUGAAGGCAUUGGGCCACUGCUGAUGUUGUGGAAGAGAUUGGAUGCCAUCUGGCAGGGCUCUGACACUGGUGGCUCUCGUGAUUCUCUGAGAAAUUUUUCUACCUCUGAUGUUGGGGAGGCCGAGUCCCUGGGGCGUGGCCCGGAUUCCCCUUGUGCCCAGGAGAGUGAGUCAGAGGACGGCUUCUCCUCUGGGGAGCCCCGGGCUCCCAGCCCGCUGGCUCCGAGCGUCCGGUCGGUGGAGCGGGUCCGACCGCCCCGCCCUGCCCCGCGCCGCUGGCAUGGUGGGACGAAGGGGAAAGAACUUCCUCUUUGUGCCUUCCCGGCGAUCGGGGGCGAACGGGGGCUUGUGGACCAGCCCUCGCCUCGGGUUGCAUCUGGCUCAGUGAAGGUGAAUUGCCCGAAUUGUGGGGUCACGUUCCCCUUUAAAGCGACCCAGGCGGAUUCGCCCGGAUCGGUUUCGGGUUCAUCUUCCGAGGAUGAGUCAGCUCCAAUCCCUGAGCCUGCGCAGCCUGCUGGGCGUGCGCAGGCGGUGGGGGCUGCCAAGGAUGGGGCGUUGGUCUCUGUUCCGUCGGGCUCUGCCCCAGCAGGCGGGCAGCCCGUCCGGUCCCGCCUGAUGGGGGCGGUGCCCGCCGGGCGGUUGCGUGUUGCGGGUCCGAAGCUCCUUGGGGGCGUGCCGGCCUCCGUUGUGUCGUCCCGCAGUGACAUUUCUCCGCGCUCCGCGUCUCCCUCUACAUC